UGAUAUCGUAUAGUGGCAUUACCUCUGG
This 28-nucleotide small RNA is filed under the name Bombyx mori (domestic silkworm). Its description in RNAcentral is "ovarian small RNA-32538". The record is from RNAcentral. Lineage: Eukaryota; Metazoa; Arthropoda; Insecta; Lepidoptera; Bombycidae.